RNAcentral lists this ribosomal RNA (215 nucleotides) under Campeiostachys nutans. RNAcentral describes it as "Elymus nutans partial small subunit ribosomal RNA". It matches the Rfam family "Eukaryotic small subunit ribosomal RNA", at positions 664 to 864 of the family's 1831-position model. Lineage: Eukaryota; Viridiplantae; Streptophyta; Magnoliopsida; Poales; Poaceae. The record is from RNAcentral.
GGCCUGGUCGGGCCUUAAGGGGUAUGAACUGUUACUGUUGAUUUCUCACCUUCUGGAGAAACUUGAUGUCCUUAAUUGGGUGUCUUGCGGAUCCAGGACCUUUACCUUGAAAAAAUUAGAGUGUUUAAAGCAGGCAUUUUUGCUCGAAUACAUUAGCAUGGAAUAAUAGAAUAGGACGGCAUGGUUUUAUUUUGUUGGUUUCUAGGAUUGACGUA